Unclassified non-coding RNA from Macaca fascicularis (crab-eating macaque), 148 nucleotides. It matches the Rfam family "Metazoan signal recognition particle RNA". From Rfam's summary of the family: The signal recognition particle (SRP) is a universally conserved ribonucleoprotein. It is involved in the co-translational targeting of proteins to membranes. NCBI's taxonomy places the organism in Eukaryota, Metazoa, Chordata, Mammalia, Primates, Cercopithecidae. The record is from Ensembl.
GCCAGGCAUGGUGGCUCAUGCCUAUAGUCCUAGCUUCUCGGGAGGCUGAGACAGGAGGAUUACUUGAGCCCAGGAGUUUAAGGCUACAGUGAACUAUAAUAGCACCACUGCUCUCCAGCCUGGGCAACAGAGCAAGACCCUGUCUCUA